RNAcentral lists this ribosomal RNA (821 nucleotides) under uncultured eukaryote. RNAcentral describes it as "SSU rRNA". It matches the Rfam family "Eukaryotic small subunit ribosomal RNA", at positions 629 to 1427 of the family's 1831-position model. The record is from RNAcentral.
CGGUGUUUAACUGGCGUGAUGUGGGACGUCCUACCGGUGGGCUUAGCCUCGCGAGGGGCGGCCCAACUAAUAUCCCGUCGCGGUGCUCUUUACUGAGUGUCGAGUCGGGCCGGUACGUUUACUUUGAACAAAUUAGAGUGCUUAAAGCAGGCUAUCCUCGCCUGAAUACUGCGUGCAUGGAAUAAUGGAAUAGGACCUCGGUUCUAUUUUGUUGGUUUUCGGAACCCCGAGGUAAUGAUUAAUAGGGACAGAUGGGGGCAUUCGUAUUGCGACGUUAGAGGUGAAAUUCUUGGAUCGUCGCAAGACGGACAGAAGCGAAAGCAUUUGCCAAAAAUGUUUUCAUUAAUCAAGAACGAAAGUUAGAGGUUCGAAGGCGAUCAGAUACCGCCCUAGUUCUAACCAUAAACGAUGCCAGCUAGCGAUCCGCCGAAGUUCCUCCGAUGACUCGGCGGGCAGCUUCCGGGAAACCAAAGCUUUUGGGUUCCGGGGGAAGUAUGGUUGCAAAGCUGAAACUUAAAGGAAUUGACGGAAGGGCACCACCAGGAGUGGAGCCUGCGGCUUAAUUUGACUCAACACGGGAAACCUCACCAGGCCCAGACACCGGAAGGAUUGACAGAUUGAUAGCUCUUUCUUGAUUCGGUGGGUGGUAGUGCAUGGGCCGUUCUUAGUUGGUGGAGCGAUUUGUCUGGUUAAUUCCGAUAACGAACGAGACUCUAGCCUGCUAAAUAGGCGUACCUUAUGGUAUCGCGAAGGCCCCCGGCUUCGGCCGGUGGGUUUUUACUACCAACGUACAAACAAAUCUUCUUAGAGGGCACAGGCGG